CUGAUUCACUUUGAAUCGAAACACAUCGCUACUCUGCACAACUACAGCUUCAGUUUGACUCCUCUUGAUAAAAACAUCAGAAGUCCAUUACAGUGAAAUACACAGAUUUCCUUCAAAUGUGAGAAACUUUCAUUUAAAAUGUAAUUUAUAAAUGUACGUUGAUGUUAACACGAGCGGUUUGUGUUUAUUUAUUAAAGACUUGUCCAGCGCUAGAAGAACCAGAGAGCUGCUUCACAGAAGAAAGAAGAAGAAGAAGAAGCAGAAGGAGGAAAUGAGAGAGCUUUUUAGUGAAGCCGUGAGCUGCUGAAUGAUUUCUGAGUUUUUAAUUUAAUCUCUGAUCCAGAAUCCUAAAUUGUGGUGGUCUCCUUUACCUACCGUGUAGUGAUUAGAAGACUAUCAUGAUUCAGUGAUCCCGUGUGUGAAGCUGCUCCGUUUUGUACUCUGUAUAGCAAUAAAAAUACACAACCAUUUUAUCAUGAGAUCUGCU
Molecule: long non-coding RNA, 487 nt
Organism: Ictalurus punctatus (channel catfish)
Lineage: Eukaryota; Metazoa; Chordata; Actinopteri; Siluriformes; Ictaluridae
Source: Ensembl